GAUGAACGCUGGCGGCGUGCCUAAUACAUGCAAGUCGAGCGAACGGACGAGAAGCUUGCUUCUCUGAUGUUAGCGGCGGACGGGUGAGUAACACGUGGAUAACCUACCUAUAAGACUGGGAUAACUUCGGGAAACCGGAGCUAAUACCGGAUAAUAUUUUGAACCGCAUGGUUCAAAAGUGAAAGACGGUCUUGCUGUCACUUAUAGAUGGAUCCGCGCUGCAUUAGCUAGUUGGUAAGGUAACGGCUUACCAAGGCAACGAUGCAUAGCCGACCUGAGAGGGUGAUCGGCCACACUGGAGCUGAGACACGGUCCAGACUCCUACGGGAGGCAGCAGUAGGGAAUCUUCCGCAAUGGGCGAAAGCCUGACGGAGCAACGCCGCGUGAGUGAUGAAGGUCUUCGGAUCGUAAAACUCUGUUAUUAGGGAAGAACAUAUGUGUAAGUAACUGUGCACAUCUUGACGGUACCUAAUCAGAAAGCCACGGCUAACUACGUGCCAGCAGCCGCGGUAAUACGUAGGUGGCAAGCGUUAUCCGGAAUUAUUGGGCGUAAAGCGCGCGUAGGCGGUUUUUUAAGUCUGAUGUGAAAGCCCACGGCUCAACCGUGGAGGGUCAUUGGAAACUGGAAAACUUGAGUGCAGAAGAGGAAAGUGGAAUUCCAUGUGUAGCGGUGAAAUGCGCAGAGAUAUGGAGGAACACCAGUGGCGAAGGCGACUUUCUGGUCUGUAACUGACGCUGAUGUGCGAAAGCGUGGGGAUCAAACAGGAUUAGAUACCCUGGUAGUCCACGCCGUAAACGAUGAGUGCUAAGUGUUAGGGGGUUUCCGCCCCUUAGUGCUGCAGCUAACGCAUUAAGCACUCCGCCUGGGGAGUACGACCGCAAGGUUGAAACUCAAAGGAAUUGACGGGGACCCGCACAAGCGGUGGAGCAUGUGGUUUAAUUCGAAGCAACGCGAAGAACCUUACCAAAUCUUGACAUCCUUUGACAACUCUAGAGAUAGAGCUUUCCCCUUCGGGGGACAAAGUGACAGGUGGUGCAUGGUUGUCGUCAGCUCGUGUCGUGAGAUGUUGGGUUAAGUCCCGCAACGAGCGCAACCCUUAAGCUUAGUUGCCAUCAUUAAGUUGGGCACUCUAAGUUGACUGCCGGUGACAAACCGGAGGAAGGUGGGGAUGACGUCAAAUCAUCAUGCCCCUUAUGAUUUGGGCUACACACGUGCUACAAUGGACAAUACAAAGGGCAGCGAAACCGUGAGGUCAAGCAAAUCCCAUAAAGUUGUUCUCAGUUCGGAUUGUAGUCUGCAACUCGACUACAUGAAGCUGGAAUCGCUAGUAAUCGUAGAUCAGCAUGCUACGGUGAAUACGUUCCCGGGUCU
RNAcentral lists this ribosomal RNA (1372 nucleotides) under uncultured bacterium. Its description in RNAcentral is "bacterial SSU rRNA". It matches the Rfam family "Bacterial small subunit ribosomal RNA", at positions 28 to 1381 of the family's 1533-position model. The record is from RNAcentral.